GUGGGCCCUCGAAAUCCUGUGGCGGGAGUAUUCAGUCGGGACGGCGGGGCGGGCGAUCGGAAUACGAACCGAGAAGGUUCCCGCGACGGGGCCGUUCCGGCGCCCGAUCCCUGUCGACCCGACGCAUUUGUUUCCCGCCCGAAGGACGCCGCAACCGGUUGGCGAGACGGCCUUAAGGGCGAGAGCCGGCAGGUGGCCGGUGGCACGCGCUUCCCUGCGGGCCGCCGGUUGUUAGCCAUCUCGUCGCACGGCACGUCUCCCGACCGUGGAAAGAGAGAUGCCCCUGAAAUGGGCUUCGACGUCUCCUCCUGUAAAAGGCAGCGGGCAAGACGCGUGACAGGAGACUCGAUGCCCUGCGGGCGCACGGACUGACUCCGUGGCCCAGCGUCGCGUCGUCUUCGUUGGUCGCGCAAGGCCCGCCGGAGUGACAGACGGUUGGCGGCGAGUAGAUCGGUCACCCACCUGACCCGUCUUGAAACACGGACCAAGGAGUGUAACAUGUAUGCGAGUCCCAGGGUCUUGAACAGGCCCGGGAGGCGCAAUGAAAGCAAAGGCCGGAGGACUCCGGCCGUGUUGGGAUCCCCGCUCCUUGAGCGGGCGGGGCGCACCAACGACCCGUCCUGUUCCACUUGUGGAUUGGGCGGAGUCUGAGCAUACACGUUGCCACCCGAAAGAUGGUGAACUAUGCCCGGGCAGGACGAGGCCAGAGGAAACUCUGGUGGAGGUCCGUAGCGGUUCUGACGUGCAAAUCGAUCGUCAGAUCCGGGUCUAGG
This 773-nucleotide ribosomal RNA is filed under the name Labulla flahaulti. RNAcentral describes it as "partial large subunit ribosomal RNA". The stretch from base 484 to 773 matches the Rfam family "Eukaryotic large subunit ribosomal RNA", at positions 665 to 921 of the family's 3401-position model. The record is from RNAcentral. Lineage: Eukaryota; Metazoa; Arthropoda; Arachnida; Araneae; Linyphiidae.